This 253-nucleotide ribosomal RNA is filed under the name uncultured bacterium. RNAcentral describes it as "partial 16S ribosomal RNA". It matches the Rfam family "Bacterial small subunit ribosomal RNA", at positions 524 to 776 of the family's 1533-position model. The record is from RNAcentral.
UACGUAGGUGGCAAGCGUUGUCCGGAUUUACUGGGCGUAAAGAGCGCGCAGGCGGUCAGAUAAGUCGAAUGUGAAAGCCCCCGGCUCAACUGGGGAGGGUCAUUCGAUACUGUUCGACUCGAAGGCAGGAGAGGGAAGCGGAAUUCCCGGUGUAGUGGUGAAAUGCGUAGAUAUCGGGAGGAACAUCAGUGGCGAAGGCGGCUUCCUGGCCUGUUCUUGACGCUGAGGCGCGAAAGCUAGGGGAGCAAACGGG